UGGGGAAUAUUGCACAAUGGGCGCAAGCCUGAUGCAGCGACGCCGCGUGCGGGAUGGAGGCCUUCGGUUGUAACCGCUUUGUUCAAGGGCAAGGCAGGCUUUCGGGCCUGUUGAGUGGAUUGUUCGAAUAAGCACCGGCUAACUACGUGCC
This 151-nucleotide ribosomal RNA is filed under the name uncultured bacterium. RNAcentral's name for it is "partial 16S ribosomal RNA". It matches the Rfam family "Bacterial small subunit ribosomal RNA", at positions 355 to 509 of the family's 1533-position model. The record is from RNAcentral.